This 47-nucleotide transfer RNA is filed under the name uncultured eukaryote. RNAcentral's name for it is "partial Selenocysteine transfer RNA". The record is from RNAcentral.
AGGCUGCGGUGAUGGAGGAGGACUUCAAAGCGGACGCGGGGGAGGAU